UACCAGCACCCCGAGUGGUCGGGACGAUUAUUGGGCCUAAAGCAUCCGUAGCCGGUCCUGCAAGUCUUCCGUUAAAUCCAGCUGCUCAACAGAUGGGCUGCGGGGGAUACUACAGGGCUAGGAGGCGGGAGAGGCAAGCGGUACUUUAUGGGUAGGGGUAAAAUCCGUUGAUCCAUAGAAGACCACCAGUGGCGAAGGCGGCUUGCCAGAACGCGCUCGACGGUGAGGGAUGAAGCUGGGGGAGCAAACCGG
This 252-nucleotide ribosomal RNA is filed under the name uncultured bacterium. RNAcentral's name for it is "partial 16S ribosomal RNA". It matches the Rfam family "Archaeal small subunit ribosomal RNA", at positions 474 to 727 of the family's 1478-position model. The record is from RNAcentral.